This 160-nucleotide small nucleolar RNA is filed under the name Podiceps cristatus (great crested grebe). Lineage: Eukaryota; Metazoa; Chordata; Aves; Podicipediformes; Podicipedidae. The record is from RNAcentral.
ACUGCAGCAGUUGGAGCUUGGAGCUGAGGCCACUUCCUGGCCAAGGAACUCUAUGAAGUAUAGGACGUGUGCUGUAGUAACCUGGCAGGAUUUUUCGCUGACGCCAUGAGGGUCUUUGUGGCCCAAUGAGUGGAGUUUGAUAGUCAUUUUUGCUACAGUU